GACGAACGCUGGCGGCGUGCUUAACACAUGCAAGUCGAACGGUAAGGCCCUUCGGGGUACACGAGUGGCGAACGGGUGAGUAACACGUGGGUGAUCUGCCCUGCACUUCGGGAUAAGCCUGGGAAACUGGGUCUAAUACCGGAUAGGACCACUGCCUGCAUGGGUGGUGGUGGAAAGCUUUUGCGGUGUGGGAUGGGCCCGCGGCCUAUCAGCUUGUUGGUGGGGUGAUGGCCUACCAAGGCGACGACGGGUAGCCGGCCGGAGAGGGUGACCGGCCACACUGGGACUGAGUUACUGCCCAGACUCCUACGGGAGGCAGCAGUGGGGAAUAUUGCCCAAUGGGCGCAAGCCUGAUGCAGCGACGCCGCGUGAGGGAUGACGGCCUUCGGGUUGUAAACCUCUUUCAGCACCGACGAAGCGCAAGUGACGGUAGGUGCAGAAGAAGGACCGGCCAACUACGUGCCAGCAGCCGCCGUAA
This 478-nucleotide ribosomal RNA is filed under the name uncultured bacterium. RNAcentral's name for it is "partial 16S ribosomal RNA". It matches the Rfam family "Bacterial small subunit ribosomal RNA", at positions 28 to 523 of the family's 1533-position model. The record is from RNAcentral.